AGGUCCGACCUGCCCAGUGAAAAUUUUUAAACGGCCGCGGUAUACUAACCGUGCAAAGGUAGCGCAAUCACUUGCCCCUUAAAUGAGGGCUAGUAUGAAUGGUUUAAUGAGGGUCUAACUGUCUCCUGAGGCUGAUCAAUGAACUUGAUAACUCAGUACAAAUGCUGAGAUAUAAACAUAAGACGAGAAGACCCUGUGGAACUUCAAAUUUUACUGUUGAACACCCAACACAACGGUGACCUCAACAUAAAAUUUAAGUUGGGGCAACUACGGGGCAAAACAAAACCCCCAUGGAAAAUAACUAGUAGUUAUACCACCUAGGCCCACACGCCACAUAUCGCUGCUUCGACCCAGUUCAAACUGAUCACCGAACCAAGCUACCCCAGGGAUAACAGCGCUAUCCCCUUUAAGAGUCCCUAUCGACAAGGGGGUUUACGACCUCGAUGUUGGAUCAGGACACCCCGG
Molecule: ribosomal RNA, 465 nt
Filed under: Lygodactylus methueni (Woodbrush dwarf gecko)
Lineage: Eukaryota; Metazoa; Chordata; Lepidosauria; Squamata; Gekkonidae
Description: partial large subunit ribosomal RNA
Rfam family: Bacterial large subunit ribosomal RNA
Source: RNAcentral